Molecule: long non-coding RNA, 4616 nt
Organism: Pseudopipra pipra
Lineage: Eukaryota; Metazoa; Chordata; Aves; Passeriformes; Pipridae
Exons: 2
Source: RefSeq, a predicted model, not a curated record
UUAUGAAAAAUUAUGGUCAUUGCUCACUGUAAUUUUGUUUGUCAGGAAAAUUGGACAUGUAUACAUCGCUGCAAAGUGCUUCAGCUGAAGAAAAGAAUACCUCACUGUAUCUGUCUGUGUGUUACUCCCAGCUAGGGAGCUUGAACAGGCUCAUUGUGUGAUAAAACAGUACAGGACAUUAAUAUUUCUAACUUCAGCUCCUGUAAAAUGAAACAUAUUUGAAUUAAAUUGUCACUUGCAUUGCAAUGCAUUGACCCUCUGCAUCUGAUUUUUAAAGUUCAGAUUGUUCUUUAUUAGAGUUUUGGAUUGUUAAAGGUACCAACUUUCCAACCAGUGCAUGAGAAUUAGUACUGAUGCUUUUUUUAAGGUGUAUAUACAACACAAUUAGAAUUCCAUCUAGAGAUUUGAUUGUUUUCAAAUAAUAUUUGUUAUUCAUCAACCUAAUUCUUUGUGAUAAAGUAUAUAAUUUUGUAGCAUUAAGUGUUACUGAGCUGGUUUAAAAAGAGGUUAUAAUUUACUAAAAAGAUUACAAUAAAUACAAUGAUACAGAGAAAACUGGUUUUAACCCCCAAAGACAGAUGUAUAACCCAUCACCCUGGGACAAGAACAGAACAGUGUUUGUUGGCCUCUGUGCUGAGCACCACAUGGCCCCCUGGGUGCAAAAUAAAAGGAAAGGAAACCUGUUGGUCUGGAUGGUGGUCACAGUCCUGUUGAGGUGACGAUCACAGUCCUGUCCAGAGUGGCAUCACAGUCCUGUUGGAGUUCUGGUCCUCCUCUGGAUCCAGUGAGUGGUACCAGAAGUCCCAGGGCUAAUAAGUCAACUAUGGGAUUUACUUCCAUUAUUGCUGUGGAGUUUCUAGAAACUUCAGAGUUCAGAGGAUUCUUACAUUACAGUGUGAUGAGAAACUAGUUGUAUUUUAACUUUAGGGUAUUCCUACAACUAAAAUGUGACAUGAGCAAGUAGCUGGGACCCCACUGUUGGUUGUCUUUUCAGUAGUAGAACAGCAGAAAGCUCUGAUAGGAGACUUCUGAACUUUGUGUGAUAAAAUAUUUUAGGGACUCCUGCCUUUCUGCUCAGUAGCUGCUGUUUCUAAUUGGUAAAAGAGGCAGAUGAAAUAAGGUUCUUUAACUCUACGGAAACUUGUGCAUAUGUUUGUGUAGGGAUAUUCUAAUACUUAUAAUGGUAAUUCCUGAGUAUCUGAGUGGAGCUGAAGCUGUUGGUAUCUUGAGGCCUUGUACACACUGUACUGGCAGCGUGUUUUAUCAUGAACAGAGUGCUGUAAGCAGCACUUCCUCGAGUUUGGGAUCUGGCUUGAACCUUGCUGAGAUCAGAUCGAGUGUUACAACUUUGAAGUUGUGUUGAGUCUGUGACUAAUUUUAGGUGUAUUCAGAUUACAUGCACUAGGUGAAGACAGAGGCGGGGUAGAGCACCGCUAGAAGUUAUAUAUGCAGUGAGUUGAAAGCAUUACAAAUGCCUUUUGAUGAUUCUCCCUCUUCUAUGGCAAUAAUAAAAGUCAAAGUUUUCAUUUGCAUGUACGUGAGCGUACAGCAGAUAUGUCAGCAAAAUUGAUUUUUAAUAGAGAGCAAGUAGUCAGGGGAGUUUUUCAUCUAACAAACUUAAAGUUCAACAAAAGUGCCAUAAAAGGCAACAGAUGAAGUGCAGCUGCCACCUUUUUGGUUUUUUCUGUGUAACUUCAGGAAUAGGGACAGGGGAGGAGAGGCUGAACUGUGGGUAGAGUCCCUCUGCUAAGUGGUUAAUGUUCUGAGGAGGGCUUUCUCCUCUCUGUAAGUACAGAGGGUACUAAAUAGAAAUUUCCAGUUUCCAGUCAUUAGUGAUGUUUUUGAUGCAGAUGUCAUAAACUGCUGCUGUUCUUUUAGUUCGUUUGUUUGUUGUCUUUUAAAGUAAUUGAUGCAGUCACUCAACUAAAAAUUUGCUUAGUGUCGAGUGCACUUUCUGAAAUGCCACGCAGCCCUGUUGGCAGUAUGCAUUUCUCUAUGGAGUACUAAAACCCCUUCAGACUACUGCCAGACUGUAAAGGGCAUAAUGGAUUAUUUGGGCUUUAAUGACAUUAGGAUUCUGAUAUAUCAGUUUCUGAUUUUAGUUGGAUGCAGAUAACCUGAUGUUCAUCUAGUCAGUGCUGGAAUGUAGACUGCAGUUGUAAUCCUCAGGGGGACAAAGUGAUAAAGAUACGUGGGGGAAGAUAAUCAGUAUUCAGCAGCUUUGACAGACCGAACAGAGCGUCAGGGAAACAAAAUCUCCUUUCCUACUAGCUUGGGUAAAGAAACUUUUACCUGUUUAACUGUUGCUUCUGGAGGAGUCCUAGAUUAAAAGGAGUUAGGAAGAGCUUGCUUCAUAUCUGUGUAGACAAGGGCCAGGCUGUUUCCCUCCUGGAUUUAACACAAUUACUUUGAGUGUGACCGUGGCUUAGAGUAGUUUGUGUUCCACUUGUUACUGUUUUGAUGUUGUGUGUGUGCUGAGGAAAGAUCUGUCAGAUGAAUUCCACUGGGGACAAAUAUCCCUUCUGCUAAACUGAUCAUUUUUAGGAAGACUCAAGUGAGGAUCAGUGCAUGGCAUAACUAAUGAAACAGCAGACAGGAAGGACACAGGAGACCAAAGCUUUUUGUCUGUUCCCUCUGUUCUUCCCUGAUGCCAGUGUUUGUUGUUAGAAGCCACUUCAAUUUCUGUUUAGUCUGAAUGCCUUUAGCUGCUUUUUUGGCACUGUUGAUGAAAGACUUUUUGCCCUGCACCAGUUACCACAUCUGGGGGGACAGGAUGGUAGUUUCUGUAAUUUAAUAAGCUGACAUAGGUGUUAGAAGGAAGAUGACUUUUUCAUAGUAAACUACAUACCAGCCUUAAUUCUGAUUACCAUAGAUACAAUCUACAAUUUUCAGAUCAUAUUAUGGUUAGUAGUGGGAGGUGGUGAUGGGUGGUGUUUUGUGGGGUUUUUUUUAGUUUUGUUUCUGUUUUAUUAAAUAUAUCUUAAAUAAUGGAAGCUAUCUACAUGAUUCUUAAAUUGUUUCAACUACCUCUUAAGCAAAGAAUUAGCAUACAGGGUAUGCUGUUCCAGCCUCUUGAUUCCAGCUUCUUCUGCUUUUUUGAAUAGUAUCCUGUUGAAUGGGAAUUUUAGAGGUGGGGAGUGUGGAAGGGGAAUUAUUUGGACUUUGUAGUUCGCUAGUAUGGUGUAAUAAAUCUCUCUAGAGUUGGUGCAAGCCUUGAGAAGACUCCUUAAUUUAUCUGUGAACCUCAACUACAGCUUGUUGGUCAGAGGGAGUUGUUUGAAUCAUAAUUUAAAAAAAAAACAAACCCAAACCAUAAAACUCUCCUCCCCCCAAAAAACUAAAUGAAAACAAAAAAACCCAAAUAAAACCAACAACAACAAAAAAACUCAAACCUAAAAUUUCUUACGGUACCUUAACCUCUCUCAGGUGUUACACAUCCAGCUUUCAAUAUGCUGUGCCCCUUUUUUCUUCUGUUGCAGAGCUUGAUUGUUCUGUUCCUUUACCUGCUGAAUGAUUCAGAGUGUUUGAGGCCAUCUUUACACUUAGUUGUAAUAAUUAGGAGGGGUUUGGAGAUACAGGACAGUAAGUCCCAGCACAUUAUGGUAGAUGUGUGCUGGUCAGAAUAAUAUUGCUCAGAGUGUAGACAUGCAGGUGUUGCAGCUCUAAGAGAUGCAACUGUUCUGUGCCAAAAAAGCAAACAAAGUCCUGUAAAAUAUCUGAACACUUAAAGCUGUAACUUGGUGUAGUGAUAGUAGUUAAAGAUGAACUUUAGCCUUGAUUAGCGGCAUCAAAUACAAUUGCAUUUUUUGAGAAAACAGACUUUGGUCAUGCAGCUUCUAUUUCUUUUCUUAAUAUUAACAUGAAUUACUGUUCCUUGGGGUUUUAUGUUCCCCUCAGACACAGGUACAGCUGGGUUUUAUCUAUGCAGCAGGUGUUACUUGUUCCUUCAUACAGUGCCUCUCUAUGAAAACUGCAGCUUUUCCUUGUUCAAAUUUGACUUAAGACAUUGAUUGAUUGGCUUUAACUUCUUUUUGAGUAUUGACAGUAGCUGAGCAGUGAACUGAAUAAGUUUACUGUUGGAAGUUGUUUUAAUAUAUAUGAAGAUGACACUUAAUAUGAACCGUGGAAUAGAAGGUUGGGAUGGACAAGAUAAAUAGUACCAGACAGUGGAAGAAUCUCUCCACUGACUGUGGCAAGUGAAAAGCAGAAAGAUCCUGUAAAGAUAGAGGGUAGAAGGGAAGAAAACCUCCCCUGCAGCUUAGCUGUUUCAAACUGUCUCAGAAUGUUUGUGUUGUAAACAGCUCAGACUUGGCCUUGGAUUUUUUUAGUUGCUGCAGAUUUUUGCGAUCAGGGGAAGUGUCAAUAGAAAGUGCAAACCCAGAAACAGAUGGUACUUGUUCUACAGGAAAAAACUUGUGCUGAAAUUUGUAGGUCCAGAGUAUAUUGCUUUAAAAUAUAUAUAUUAUUUUGAUUGUAUCCAAAAGAAUAUAUACAAGCACUUUGUGCAGACUGGCAUUGCCUUUAACUACUUACAUUCUUCCUUAGCUUUAAACUUUGCUUUUUUCUUAUGUUCAAUAUGAAAACUUACUGAAAAUAAACUUAAUUUGUGUGUGAAA